AGUGAACGCUGGCGGUAGGCCUAACACAUGCAAGUCGAACGGCAGCACAGUAAGAGCUUGCUCUUACGGGUGGCGAGUGGCGGACGGGUGAGGAAUACAUCGGAAUCUACUUUUUCGUGGGGGAUAACGUAGGGAAACUUACGCUAAUACCGCAUACGACCUACGGGUGAAAGCAGGGGAUCUUCGGACCUUGCGCGAUUGAAUGAGCCGAUGUCGGAUUAGCUAGUUGGCGGGGUAAAGGCCCACCAAGGCGACGAUCCGUAGCUGGUCCGAAAGGAUGAUCAGCCACACUGGAACUGAGACACGGUCCAGACUCCUACGGUAGGCAGCAGUGGGGAAUAUUGGACAAUGGGCGCAAGCCUGAUCCAGCCAUACCGCGUGGGUGAAGAAGGCCUUCGGGUUGUAAAGCCCUUUUGUUGGGAAAGAAAAGCAGCAGGUUAAUACCCCGCUGUUCUGACGGUACCCAAAGAAUAAGCACCGGCUAACUUCGUG
RNAcentral lists this ribosomal RNA (492 nucleotides) under uncultured bacterium. RNAcentral's name for it is "partial 16S ribosomal RNA". It matches the Rfam family "Bacterial small subunit ribosomal RNA", at positions 29 to 507 of the family's 1533-position model. The record is from RNAcentral.